RNAcentral lists this transfer RNA (88 nucleotides) under Helcobacillus massiliensis. RNAcentral describes it as "Dermabacter sp. 6401990 tRNA". It matches the Rfam family "tRNA". Rfam says of the family: Transfer RNA (tRNA) molecules are approximately 80 nucleotides in length. Their secondary structure includes four short double-helical elements and three loops (D, anti-codon, and T loops). Further hydrogen bonds mediate the characteristic L-shaped molecular structure. tRNAs have two regions of fundamental functional importance: the anti-codon, which is responsible for specific mRNA codon recognition, and the 3' end, to which the tRNAs corresponding amino acid is attached (by aminoacyl-tRNA synthetases). tRNAs cope with the degeneracy of the genetic code in two manners: having more than one tRNA (with a specific anti-codon) for a particular amino acid; and 'wobble' base-pairing, i.e. permitting non-standard base-pairing at the 3rd anti-codon position. Lineage: Bacteria; Bacillati; Actinomycetota; Actinomycetes; Micrococcales; Dermabacteraceae. The record is from Rfam by way of RNAcentral. RNAcentral also lists the same sequence under 1 other name.
GGAGAGUUGACCGAGCGGCCGAAGGUGGCGGUCUUGAAAACCGCUGUGCGGUAACCCCGUACCAAGGGUUCAAAUCCCUUACUCUCCG